RNAcentral lists this ribosomal RNA (520 nucleotides) under uncultured Microbacteriaceae bacterium. Its description in RNAcentral is "bacterial SSU rRNA". It matches the Rfam family "Bacterial small subunit ribosomal RNA", at positions 29 to 561 of the family's 1533-position model. The record is from RNAcentral. Lineage: Bacteria; Bacillati; Actinomycetota; Actinomycetes; Micrococcales; Microbacteriaceae.
GCAACGCUGGCGGCGUCUUACACACUGCAGUUGAACGAUGAAAGCUGGAGCUUGCUCUAGCUGGAUUAGUGGCGAACGGGUGAGUAACACGUGAGCAAUCUGCCCUGGACUCUGGGAUAACCCCGAGAAAUCGGAGCUAAUACCGGAUACGACACCUCCCGGCAUCGGGUGGGUGUGGAAAGAAUUUCGGUCCAGGAUGAGCUCGCGGCCUAUCAGCUUGUUGGUGAGGUAACGGCUCACCAAGGCGACGACGGGUAGCCGGCCUGAGAGGGUGACCGGCCACACUGGGACUGAGACACGGCCCAGACUCCUACGGGAGGCAGCAGUGGGGAAUAUUGCACAAUGGGCGCAAGCCUGAUGCAGCAACGCCGCGUGGGGGACGACGGCCUUCGGGUUGUAAACCUCUUUUAGUAGGGAAGAAGCGCAAGUGACGGUACCUACAGAAAAAGCACCGGCUAACUACGUGCCAGCAGCCGCGGUAAUACGUAGGGUGCAAGCGUUGUCCGGAAUUAUUGGGCGU